CCUACGGGAGGCAGCAGUGAGGAAUAUUGGUCAAUGGUCGGGAGACUGAACCAGCCAAGCCGCGUGAGGGAUGAAGGUACAGAGUAUCGUAAACCUCUUUUGUCAGGGAACAAAGGCGGGGACGUGUCCCCGGAUGAGUGUACCUGAAGAAAAAGCAUCGGCUAACUCCGUGCCAGCAGCCGCGGUAAUACGGAGGAUGCGAGCGUUAUCCGGAUUUAUUGGGUUAAAGGGGUCCGCGGGGGGGCUGUAAAGCAAGGGGUCAAAGCCCGGGGCACAACCCGGGGCCGCCGUUGAAACUGGCAGGCUCGAGUUGGAGAGAAGUAUGAGGAAUGCGCGGUGUAGCGGUGAAAUGCAUAGAUAUCGCGCAGAACUCCGAUUGCGAAGGCAGCAGGCCGGCUCCACACUGACGCUGAGGCACGAAAGCGUGGGUAUCGAACAGGAUUAGAUACCCGGGUAGUC
RNAcentral lists this ribosomal RNA (459 nucleotides) under uncultured bacterium. Its description in RNAcentral is "partial 16S ribosomal RNA". It matches the Rfam family "Bacterial small subunit ribosomal RNA", at positions 338 to 795 of the family's 1533-position model. The record is from RNAcentral.